Molecule: ribosomal RNA, 573 nt
Filed under: uncultured bacterium
Lineage: Bacteria
Description: bacterial SSU rRNA
Rfam family: Bacterial small subunit ribosomal RNA
Source: RNAcentral
CCUACGGGAGGCAGCAGUGAGGAAUAUUGGACAAUGGGCGCAAGCCUGAUCCAGCCAUGCCGCGUGCAGGAUGACGGUCCUAUGGAUUGUAAACUGCUUUUAUACGAGAAGAAACACUCCGACGUGUCGGAGCUUGACGGUAUCGUAAGAAUAAGGAUCGGCUAACUCCGUGCCAGCAGCCGCGGUAAUACGGAGGAUCCAAGCGUUAUCCGGAAUCAUUGGGUUUAAAGGGUCCGUAGGCGGUUUAAUAAGUCAGUGGUGAAAGCCCAUCGCUCAACGGUGGAACGGCCAUUGAUGCUGUUAAACUUGAAUUAUUAGGAAGUAACUAGAAUAUGUAGUGUAGCGGUGAAAUGCUUAGAGAUUACAUGGAAUACCAAUUGCGAAGGCAGGUUACUACUAAUUGAUUGACGCUGAUGGACGAAAGCGUGGGUAGCGAACAGGAUUAGAUACCCUGGUAGUCCACGCCGUAAACGAUGGAUACUAGCUGUUGGGAGCAAUCUCAGUGGCUAAGCGAAAGUGAUAAGUAUCCCACCUGGGGAAGUACGUUGCAGAUUGAAACUNAAGGAUUGACGG